This 405-nucleotide unclassified non-coding RNA is filed under the name soil metagenome. Its description in RNAcentral is "partial contains 5.8S ribosomal RNA, internal transcribed spacer 2, and large subunit ribosomal RNA". The stretch from base 1 to 121 matches the Rfam family "5.8S ribosomal RNA", at positions 35 to 154 of the family's 154-position model. The record is from RNAcentral.
GAUGAAGAACGCAGCGAAAUGCGAUAAGUAAUGUGAAUUGCAGAAUUCAGUGAAUCAUCGAAUCUUUGAACGCACCUUGCGCCCUUUGGCCAUUCCGAAGGGCAUGCCUGUUUGAGUAUCAUGAACACCUCAACUCUUUAUGGUUUUCCAUGAUGAGCUUGGACUCUGGGGGUUUUGCUGGCUCACAGUCGGCUCCUCUAAAAUGAAUCAGCUUACCAGUGUUUGGUGGGUAUCAUGGGUGUGAUAACUAUCUACGCUUGUGGUUUUUCCACCAGGUAACCUUCAGCAGUGGAGGUUCGCUGGAGCUCAUAGAUGUCUCUCCUCAGUGAGGACGGCCCUUUGAAUGUUUGAUCUCAAAUCAGGUAGGACUACCCGCUGAACUUAAGCAUAUCAAUAAGCGGAGGA